RNAcentral lists this non-coding RNA (72 nucleotides) under human gut metagenome. Its description in RNAcentral is "Fluoride riboswitch". It matches the Rfam family "Fluoride riboswitch aptamer (crcB RNA motif)". The record is from RNAcentral.
AAAAAAGGGAAUGAAGUUCUCCCGUAACCGUCAAGGUUAAAACCGCUUAUGAGCUGAUGACUUCUGCAUUUA